Molecule: ribosomal RNA, 193 nt
Filed under: uncultured bacterium
Lineage: Bacteria
Description: partial 16S ribosomal RNA
Rfam family: Bacterial small subunit ribosomal RNA
Source: RNAcentral
CCUACGGGAGGCAGCAGUAGGGAAUCUUCUACAAUGGACGAAAGUCUGAUGGAGCAACGCCGCGUGAGUGAUGAAGGGUUUCGGCUCGUAAAACUCUGUUGUUGGAGAAGAACAGGUGAUAGAGUAACUGUUAUCAUCUUGACGGUAUCCAACCAGAAAGCCACGGAUAACUACGUGCCAGCAGCCGCGGUAA